GGUAGGUAAAGCUCUAUCAGCAGGGAAGAUAAUGACGGUACCUGACUAAGAAGCCCCGGCUAAUUACGUGCCAGCAGCCGCGGUAAUACGUAGGGGGCAAGCGUUAUCCGGAUUUACUGGGUGUAAAGGGAGCGUAGACGGCAAGGCAAGUCUGAUGUGAAAACCCGGGGCUUAACCCUGGGACUGCAUUGGAAACUGUCUGGCUCGAGUGCCGGAGAGGUAAGCGGAAUUCCUAGUGUAGCGGUGAAAUGCGUAGAUAUUAGGAAGAACACCAGUGGCGAAGGCGGCUUACUGGACGGUAACUGACGUUGAGGCUCGAAAGCGUGGGGAGCAAACAGGAUUAGAUACCAUGGUAGUCCACGCAGUAAACGAUGAAUGAUAGGUGUUGGGAGCAAAGACUACUUCGGUGCCGCCGCAAACGCAUUAAGCAUACCACCUGGGGAGUA
RNAcentral lists this ribosomal RNA (446 nucleotides) under uncultured bacterium. RNAcentral describes it as "bacterial SSU rRNA". It matches the Rfam family "Bacterial small subunit ribosomal RNA", at positions 420 to 882 of the family's 1533-position model. The record is from RNAcentral.